AAAUUGAAGAGUUUGAUCAUGGCUCAGAUUGAACGCUGGCGGCAGGCCUAACACAUGCAAGUCGAACGGUAACAGGAAGCAGCUUGCUGCUUUGCUGACGAGUGGCGGACGGGUGAGUAAUGUCUGGGAAACUGCCUGAUGGAGGGGGAUAACUACUGGAAACGGUGGCUAAUACCGCAUAACGUCGCAA
This 190-nucleotide ribosomal RNA is filed under the name Salmonella enterica. RNAcentral's name for it is "partial 16S ribosomal RNA". It matches the Rfam family "Bacterial small subunit ribosomal RNA", at positions 1 to 184 of the family's 1533-position model. Lineage: Bacteria; Pseudomonadati; Pseudomonadota; Gammaproteobacteria; Enterobacterales; Enterobacteriaceae. The record is from RNAcentral. RNAcentral also lists the same sequence under 13 other names.